CCCAAAGCCCUGCCUACCUGCACAUGAGGCCUUUCCAAGACACUUUGAUGUAACCCAUAACAGUGCUGGAUUUGGCAAAAUCAAAGCAGAUGCUGGAUGACACCAGGUUCCAAAGUCUUGAGGAACACGGCUCCAACAUUUAAAGUUCUACAUUUGGACUCUUCAAGCCAAUGUCUGAGAGUUCUGUUGAUGCUUUGGUAAUGUCUCCGCUGAACCAGCCAUGCUGAGCCUUGCUCACUUGCCCUGCGCCAGGCCAGUACUGCACCUAGGAGUCCGUUUCCAUGGUGACUCACAUAGAGGAUUGGAGUGAUUCAAG
RNAcentral lists this long non-coding RNA (316 nucleotides) under Cavia porcellus (domestic guinea pig). RNAcentral's name for it is "lncRNA (ENSCPOG00000030621.1)". Lineage: Eukaryota; Metazoa; Chordata; Mammalia; Rodentia; Caviidae. The record is from RNAcentral.